AAUAGAUACCCGGGUAGUCCACGCCGUAAACGAUGAGUGCUAAGUGUUAGGGGGUUUUCCGCCCCUUAGUGCUGCAGCUAACGCAUUAAGCACUCCGCCUGGGGAGUACGGUCGCAAGACUGAAACUCAAAGGAAUUGACGGGGGCCCGCACAAGCGGUGGAGCAUGUGGUUUAAUUCGAAGCAACGCGAAGAACCUUACCAGGUCUUGACAUCCCAUUGACCGCUAUGGAGACAUAGUUUUCCCUUCGGGGACAGUGGUGACAGGUGGUGCAUGGUUGUCGUCAGCUCGUGUCGUGAGAUGUUGGGUUAAGUCCUGCAACGAGCGCAACCCUUGAUCUUAGUUGCCAUCAUUUAGUUGGGCACUCUAAGGUGACUGCCGGUGACAAACCGGAGGAAGGUGGGGAUGACGUCAAAUCAUCAUGCCCCUUAUGACCUGGGCUACACACGUGCUACAAUGGACGGUACAAACGGUUGCCAACCCGCGAGGGGGAGCUAAUCCGAUAAAACCGUUCUCAGUUCGGAUUGUAGGCUGCAACUCGCCUAC
This 545-nucleotide ribosomal RNA is filed under the name uncultured bacterium. Its description in RNAcentral is "bacterial SSU rRNA". It matches the Rfam family "Bacterial small subunit ribosomal RNA", at positions 777 to 1319 of the family's 1533-position model. The record is from RNAcentral.